CGGUGUUCAACUGGCGUGUCCGCGGGACGUCCUGCCGGUGGGCUUAGCCCGCAAGGGCGGCCCAACUUCAAAUCCCAUCGCGGUGCUCUUCACUGAGUGUCGAGGUGGGCCGGCACGUUUACUUUGAACAAAUUAGAGUGCUUAAAGCAGGCUAAAACUUCGCCUGAAUACUGUGUGCAUGGAAUAAUGGAAUAGGACAUCGGUUCUAUUUUGUUGGUUUUCGGAACCCCGAGGUAAUGCUUAAUAGGAACGGAUGGGGGCAUUCGUAUUGCGACGUUAGUGGUGAAAUUCUUGGAUCGUCGCAAGACGGACAGAAGCGAAAGCAUUUGCCAAAAACGCUUUCAUUGAUCAAGAACGAAAGUUAGAGGUUCGAAGGCGAUCAGAUACCGCCCUAGUUCUAACCAUGAACGAUGCCAGCUAGCGAUCCGUCGACGUUCCUCCGAUGACUCGACGGGCAGCUUCCGGGAAACCAAAGCUUUUGGGUUCCGGGGGAAGUAUGGUUGCAAAGCUGAAACUUAAAGGAAUUGACGGAAGGGCACCACCAGGAGUGGAGCCUGCGGCUUAAUUUGACUCAACACGGGAAACCUCACCAGGCCCGGACACCGGAAGGAUUGACAGAUUGAGAGCUCUUUCUUGAUUCGGUGGGUGGUGGUGCAUGGCCGUUCUUAGUUGGUGGAGCGAUUUGUCUGGUUAAUUCCGAUAACGAACGAGACUCUAGCCUGCUAACUAGGCGUAUUUUCGACAUCUCAAAGGUCCGUCGUCCCGGCCCUCGGGUCGUGGGCGUGCGCGAUUUUUACUGUCGGCGUACUAUCAAUUCUUCUUAGAGGGACAGGUGGCUUCUAGCCGCACGAGAUUGAGCAAUAACAGGUCUGUGAUG
RNAcentral lists this ribosomal RNA (877 nucleotides) under uncultured eukaryote. RNAcentral's name for it is "SSU rRNA". It matches the Rfam family "Eukaryotic small subunit ribosomal RNA", at positions 636 to 1469 of the family's 1831-position model. The record is from RNAcentral.